Molecule: ribosomal RNA, 1014 nt
Filed under: Triticum aestivum (bread wheat)
Lineage: Eukaryota; Viridiplantae; Streptophyta; Magnoliopsida; Poales; Poaceae
Description: partial small subunit ribosomal RNA
Source: RNAcentral
AUGCUGGGCAUCCUGUCUUCCCGGCGCUCCAACUCCGUCGACGAGGUGGAAGACAACAUCCCGCACUUCAUCCCCACCACGAAAUUCCGCGUGCGCAUUCCGGGCGACACCUGGGGGGACUGGCGCUACGCCGCGCGGGACUGCCGCCAUGGCCGCGUCCUCCUCGGCAACGAGACCUACCAGCCCGUCCCGCUCGUCGUCUGGGACCCCAUGACGGGCCGCCGGAGGGAGCUGGACCCGCCCUUCCUGGUGGGCGGCGCCCAUGGCUAUGGGGCGGCGGUGCUCUGCGCCGUGGCCGGCUGUGACCACCGUGCGUGCCACGCGGGCCCCUUCCAGGUGGCCUUCGUCGGCGUGGACAAGAUUAAAGAUGGCGAAUUUUUCGCAAGCGCGUGCGUGUCCUCGCCGGUGACGGGUGAUUGGAGCAAGCCAUGCCAUUAUUCUCAUUAUGAUGAAUGGAGCGAGCCGUGCUCUCGUCUUCAUCUUGGGUCUAACUCAUUUUGGGCCGAAAUGCCCCCUGUCUUCGUCCAAGGCGCACUUUACUUCAAGUUUAUGUCUCAGGAAGAUGAUCACAUAGCAAUUCUCAAGUAUGACUUGGGAUCUAACUGCUUAUCGCUGAUCGAUGCGCCGUUGGCGGGAUCUGUCCUUCUCAAUGCCACUAUCCUCAUGGCGAUGGACUAUAACAGUUUGGGGUUUGCACAUGUGGACAAGUUUACCCUCCACUUGUGGUCAAGACAGAGGGGUUCCGACAAAAUUGCGUCAUGGGCUCAACGUUCUGUCAUCAAUCUUGAUAACCUUCUGCCCAUUCAAAAUCCCAAUAAGAGAUUUAGACUGAUUGGAUCUGUGGAGGGCAGUGAUACCAUUUUCGUGACCAUGGGCCUUCACAUCUAUGAGAUUAGUCUCAAGACAUUACGGUGGAAGAAGCUACAGAAGAGAGAAAAGCUUUGUGAUUUGAUUCCGUACAUGAGUUUCUACAAUCCACAAGAAAGAGUGAUUCCCAGUGAUGCGGCGCAUUGA